AUUGAACGCUGGCGGCAGGCCUAACACAUGCACGUCGAACGAGUGGCGGACGGGUGAGUACUGUCUGGGAAACUGCCCGAUGGAGGGGGAUAACUACUGGCAACGGUAGCUAAUACCGCACACCAUCGUAUGCCCCCAUAUGGGAUUAGCUAGUAGGUGGGGUAACGGCUCACCUAGGCGACGAUCUCUAGCUGGGCUGAGAGGAUGACCAGCCACACUGGGACUGAGACACGGUCCAGACUCCUACGGGAGGCAGCAGUGGGGAAUAUUGCACAAUGGGCGAAAGCCUGAUGCAGCCAUGCCGCGUGUAUGAAGAAGGCCUUCGGGUUGUAAAGUACUUUCAGCAGGGAGGCGUUACUGACAGAAGAAGCACCGGCUAACUCAGUGCCAGCAGCCGCGGUAAUUC
This 406-nucleotide ribosomal RNA is filed under the name uncultured bacterium. Its description in RNAcentral is "partial 16S ribosomal RNA". It matches the Rfam family "Bacterial small subunit ribosomal RNA", at positions 30 to 526 of the family's 1533-position model. The record is from RNAcentral.